RNAcentral lists this ribosomal RNA (321 nucleotides) under uncultured Pseudomonadota bacterium. RNAcentral's name for it is "bacterial SSU rRNA". It matches the Rfam family "Bacterial small subunit ribosomal RNA", at positions 29 to 351 of the family's 1533-position model. The record is from RNAcentral. Lineage: Bacteria; Pseudomonadati; Pseudomonadota.
AUUGAACGCUGGCGGCAUGCCUUACACAUGCAAGUCGAACGGCAGCACGGGGGCAACCCUGGUGGCGAGUGGCGAACGGGUGAGUAAUGCAUCGGAACGUGCCCCGUAGCGGGGGAUAACCAGUCGAAAGACUGGCUAAUACCGCAUACGCUCUACGGAGGAAAGCAGGGGAUCGCAAGACCUUGCACUAUGGGAGCGGCCGAUGCCCGAUUAGCUAGUUGGUGAGGUAAAGGCUCACCAAGGCGACGAUCGGUAGCUGGUUUGAGAGAACGACCAGCCACACUGGGACUGAGACACGGCCCAGACUCCUACGGGAGGCAG